This 883-nucleotide ribosomal RNA is filed under the name Polypedates leucomystax (Java whipping frog). RNAcentral describes it as "partial large subunit ribosomal RNA". It matches the Rfam family "Bacterial large subunit ribosomal RNA", at positions 520 to 2603 of the family's 2925-position model. Lineage: Eukaryota; Metazoa; Chordata; Amphibia; Anura; Rhacophoridae. The record is from RNAcentral.
AGCACUUUUGAAACGCGUCAAAGCGUAACUUUAACUCCCAAAAUACCAUUAAUUUUUAUGAACCCCUAAUUUAUAAUGAAUGACUCCAUAUUUAUAUGGAAGACACCAUGCUAGGAUUAGUAACAAGAAUUUAUAAUUCUCCAAAAUGCAAAUAUAAACCAACAUGGAUAGACCAUUGGUAGUUACCGAACCUAAAUUCAAUGCAAUAACAUCCACAAGAAAACUCUGCAGUACUCACUCGUUAACCUAACACCAGCGCAUUACAGGAAAGAUUUAAAAAAAGAGAAGGAAUUCGGCAAAUGACGGCCCCGCCUGUUUACCAAAAACAUCGCCUCUUGACUUAUAAUAAGAGGUCCAGCCUGCCCAGUGAAUUUUAAACGGCCGCGGUAUCCUAACCGCGCGAAGGUAGCAUAAUCACUUGUUCUUUAAAUGGGGACUUGUAUCAACGGCAUCACGAGGGUUUUACUGUCUCCUCUUUUUGAUCAGUGAAAUUGAUCUUCCCGUGAAGAAGCGGGAAUAUUUUUAUAAGACGAGAAGACCCCAUGGAGCUUUAAACCAAAUAACAACUUAACCACUUAUCCCAUAAUAAAUUUAAGCCCUGUUAUAAGGUUUUUGGUUGGGGUGACCGCGGAGUAAAGCACAUCCUCCACGACGGAAAGAACAGAAUCUUUAUUUAAGAACUACACUUCUAGAAAUUAGUAUACUAACGUUUACUGACCCGACAAUCGAUCAACGGACCAAGUUACCCUGGGGAUAACAGCGCAAUCUACUUCAAGAGCUCAUAUCGACAAGUAGGCUUACGACCUCGAUGUUGGAUCAGGGUAUCCCGGUGGUGCAGCCGCUACCGAAGGUUCGUUUGUUCAACGAUUAAAACCCUACGUGA